AACGAACGCUGGCGGCGUGGAUUAGGCAUGCAAGUCGAACGCGAAAGAGGGGGCAACUCCUCGAGUAGAGUGGCGAACGGGUGAGUAACACGUGGGUGACCUGCCCUCAGCUCUGGGAUAAGCCUGGGAAACCGGGUCUAAUACCGGAUAUGACUCCAUGACGCAUGUUGUGGGGUGGAAAGCCUUGUGCGGCUGAGGAUGGGCCCGCGGCCUAUCAGCUUGUGGGGGUGAUGGCCUACCAAGGCGACGACGGGUAGCCGGCCUGAGAGGGCGACCGGCCACACUGGGACUGGAGACACGGCCCAGACUCCUACGGGAGGCAGCAGUGGGGAAUCUUGCGCAAUGGGCGAAAGCCUGACGCAGCGACGCCGCGUGAGGGAUGACGGCCUGGUGUAA
Molecule: ribosomal RNA, 396 nt
Filed under: uncultured bacterium
Lineage: Bacteria
Description: bacterial SSU rRNA
Rfam family: Bacterial small subunit ribosomal RNA
Source: RNAcentral